This is a non-coding RNA of Paramuricea clavata, 73 nucleotides long. NCBI's taxonomy places the organism in Eukaryota, Metazoa, Cnidaria, Anthozoa, Malacalcyonacea, Plexauridae. The record is from the annotation of a GenBank genome assembly.
UACCACGUAGCUCAGUUGGCAGAGCAUUGGACUAGUAUCCCAAAGGUCGCGGGUUCGAUUCCCACCGUGGCCA